AGAGUUUGAUCCUGGCUCAGGAUGAACGCUAGCGGGAGGCCUAACACAUGCAAGCCGAGCGGUAUUGUUUCUUCGGAAAUGAGAGAGCGGCGUACGGGUGCGGAACACGUGUGCAACCUGCCUUUAUCUGGGGGAUAGCCUUUCGAAAGGAAGAUUAAUACUCCAUAAUAUAUUGAACGGCAUCGUUUAAUAUUGAAAGCUCCGGCGGAUAGAGAUGGGCACGCGCAAGAUUAGCUAGUUGGUGAGGUAACGGCUCACCAAGGCAAUGAUCUUUAGGGGGCCUGAGAGGGUGAUCCCCCACACUGGUACUGAGACACGGACCAGACUCCUACGGGAGGCAGCAGUGAGGAAUAUUGGUCAAUGGGUGCAAGCCUGAACCAGCCAUCCCGCGUGAAGGACGACUGCCCUAUGGGUUGUAAACUUCUUUUGUAUAGGGAUAAACCUACCCUCGUGAGGGUAGCUGAAGGUACUAUACGAAUAAGCACCGGCUAACUCCGUG
Molecule: ribosomal RNA, 499 nt
Filed under: uncultured bacterium
Lineage: Bacteria
Description: bacterial SSU rRNA
Rfam family: Bacterial small subunit ribosomal RNA
Source: RNAcentral